This 301-nucleotide long non-coding RNA is filed under the name Nicotiana benthamiana. RNAcentral's name for it is "long non-coding RNA (NBEN_LNC004424)". Lineage: Eukaryota; Viridiplantae; Streptophyta; Magnoliopsida; Solanales; Solanaceae. The record is from RNAcentral.
GGUUUGCACCCACGCAAGUUAGCUCACUAGCAAUGGCCAACACUUCGAACGUGGCACAAGAGGGUGUUGUUGGUGUGGAUGUUCCACUGGAGCCAAGCCGCGGCCGUGACGUAGAACGAGGCCAGGUCAAGACUCGUACCAAGUCUAAGGCCCCCUCUGUGGAUGCAUUGGAGCCUCGUGUGAACACUCUCGAAAAUGUGUUCUCCGCCACUCAAGAAAGCCUCGAGGGAUUGGAGGAACGAGUGGAUGGUCUCGAGGGAGAAUACGCCGAUUUCACGGUGGCAACAAAGGCACUCAUCCA